RNAcentral lists this long non-coding RNA (218 nucleotides) under Dermacentor andersoni. RNAcentral describes it as "uncharacterized LOC126533963". The record is from RNAcentral. Lineage: Eukaryota; Metazoa; Arthropoda; Arachnida; Ixodida; Ixodidae.
GCCCAUGGUGUGCGGUUUUCUCAUGCUUCUCGGGGCCUUGGUGAUCAUUAUUACGGUCUUAUUUCUGUCCAUAAGAGACAGUGACAUGGAGGAAAAUGAAGCUGCACCAGGAUCAUCUGGAAAAGGCGGUGGUGGCGGAAGCAACGUGUUGGUUGUUCCUCAGGCGCCGGCACCACCUCCGCCACCCGUCGUACCGGGAGAAGAUACGGGCUCGUCCA